UUCGAAAGAUUUCCCUUAACUGAUUUCGCUUUCAUUCGGCUCGAAUGCGUGAUGGUACCAAACGAAAUGGGAAACCGGCACCGUUGAUUACAGGUCGUCGCGUCUUGUUCGGGCUAUCGAAAUCACGUUUAUCGAUCCAUACAUUAGGCCAAUGUCCACCGGGUACAGGGAACGAAACAAACAAUAAAAAAACGAAGCGACCCGGGCUACGAAUGUUCACCUCCGCCUUAACCUUAGCUGAACCUAGCGAGUCGAAGGUUGAACCCAACAAAGCGUGUCAACGAGGAACUCCCUGCGCGUGCAUUCGUUGUGUGCGGUGGCGGAGAGUUGCAUUAGAAAAUGCGCCAUAGUAAGCGUAAUCUCGUUUCCAGCGAUCAACGAAUGGGGAAUUGAGCGUGUUUCUUUGUCGUAGGUUUCGUUUAAGUGACAUUUAAACGGUAUGACCGAGUGACCAGACACUGUUAGGGUAGAGCUGGGGAGAAUGGAAAAGGUUACAAAACGCAGGUACAUAACUAUGAAGCUUAAUUAGUUUUGUGCAUGACCUUUUCUUAAGGUGUUGAUUAAGAGAUUAGGAAAGAA
This is a long non-coding RNA of Anopheles arabiensis, 579 nucleotides long. RefSeq lists it as uncharacterized. The transcript has 3 exons. The record is from RefSeq and is a predicted model, not a curated record. NCBI's taxonomy places the organism in Eukaryota, Metazoa, Arthropoda, Insecta, Diptera, Culicidae.